Molecule: long non-coding RNA, 5331 nt
Filed under: Olea europaea (common olive)
Lineage: Eukaryota; Viridiplantae; Streptophyta; Magnoliopsida; Lamiales; Oleaceae
Description: long non-coding RNA (OEUR_LNC009059)
Source: RNAcentral
UUUAUUAAAAUUAGAAGAUAGCUCAGCUGGAACACUGGAAGGAAGCAGGCUCGAAGAUGGCUCAACUGAAAUAUUGGCAAGAAGGAAACCACGUGGACUUACUGUACAACUGGAGAAAUAAUCACAUGGACUUGAUAACAGAGCAAUGGUAGAAUAGUCUAGAAAGAAAUUGGUUGGGCAAGUUGGAUUUGUUGACAACAACCUUUCUCUCUCUCUCUCUCUCUGUGUAAAUUUGUUAGGAAAAGAUUCCUUUUAGUUGUAUAUAUACACAUUCCCAUUGUAUAUGAAAGAUACAGUUGAAUGAACAAAAAUUCUCAAUAUUAUUUCAACUAAAUUGUGUUGAGUAUUUUUCAUUCUCCAAAACCAAUAUGGUAUCAGAGCAUGAGAUAGAGGGAUCCAAUUCUGAAAAUACAGAUCCUUCCCCAAAUACAAAUCAAAACCAAAACCAACAGCAAACUGGUGGAAGCAACACGUCAAUUUUCCCCCAUGAUCCAGCCCAUCCUAGCAGUCCCUACUUCAUUGGCAGUAAUGAUGGAAGUGCUACUGUACUGGUCAGCCAUGUUUUAGACUCUACCGACUACUAUUCCUGGGCUCGAUCGAUGAAGAGGGCCUUGCGGAUUAAGAACAAGCUUGGCUUUAUCGAUGGUACCCCCUGCGAGCCCAAAGAUCAGAAUAACCCAUUGAUGGAACAUUGGUUAAGGUGUAACGAUAUUGUCAUAAGCUGGAUGCAAAAUGCCAUGGAAACAGACAUCAAAAGCAGCACCAUCUAUGCUGAAACUGCUCAUCUCCUUUGGCUGGAUCUGGAGCAACGAUUCUCACAACAGAAUGCUCCACGAAUUUUCAAAGUUAAAAAGGACAUCACCACCUUGAUACAAAACCAAGAUUCUGUAAGUGUAUACUUCUCCAAACUCAAAAUUCUGCUUGAUGAACUGAUGAAUUAUGAGAGCAUACCUAACUGCACAUGUGGGGGAUUGAAUGUUGUAGUUCAAAAUCAGCAAAGAGACUGUGUUAUGAAGUUUUUGAUGGGAUUGAAUGAAACUUAUAAGGAAAUUAAGGCUCAAAUUCUGCUAAUCAAACCUUUUCCUAACUUAAAUGAGGUAUAUUCCUUAGUCCAGCAAGAAGAGAAAAGAAGGGAAAUAUCUAAUCCAGCUCCUACAAAUGCUGAUUCCAUGGCACUUCUCAGUAGAAGGAAUUUCAGAGAAAGAAAUGGCUAGAACUCUUCACCACACGGAAAGGAUAAGUUUACUGCACUUACUGCAAAACUGCUGGGCACUCACUUGAACGAUGUUUUAAAGCAAAUCCAAAUAGGCCUAUCUACAACUACUGUCAAAUGCCAGGACAUGGAACAGAUAAAUGCUACAAGCUUCAUGGGUUCCCACCAGGACAUAGCCUCAGUAAUAAGGGAAAAUUGGCUGCCAAUGUAGCCACUGCAAGUGUAGGCUCGAACAAGGAGGUGGUAAAAGACAGAGGCCAAGUAUCUUUAAGUCUUGAGCAAUACUCUUAGCUGCUAGCACUCCUCAAACCAACAGACAAUUCCCAGAACUUCACUCCAACACCAUCCAAUGCCCAAAUCCUCACUUCUACCCUUUCUGAGGAAAGUAACAAUAAAAUGUCUGGUAUAUCUCUAUCACUAACUGCUUUUCAUCACAGCCAAAGAGGUACACCUGAUAUCCCAUGGAUACUCGAUACUGGAGCAACAGACCACAUGGUCUGCUCCAUCUCAUAUUUUACAUCAAUUCAAGCAUGUGCAUCUCACUUUGUAAGUUUACCAAAUGGAGAAAAGGUUCCUGUCACACACAUAGGUACCAUCAAAUUUUCAGACUCCAUCAUCCUCUACAAUGUCCUUUGCAUACCUAGUUUUACUUUUAAUUUGAUUUCUAUAAAGAAGCUUACUCAAACUUUGAAUUGCUGCCUUACUUUCUUCUCUAAUUUCUACUGUAUUCAGGACUUUUCGACUUGGAAAAUGAUUGGAAUGGGUGAGGUGAAGGAUGGAUUAUACAAUAUGCUGAGAAAACCAGUCACUUCCUCAACUCUAUCAGAAAUCCUCAAUCAAAUCAAGUGUUCUCUUUCUGCCACUACUACAAAUAAACGUGAGGACAUCAAUCUAUGGCAUUACAGACUAGGUCAUUCUUCAUAUUCCAAUUUUAGUCCUGAUAGUAAUGUUUACCUAACACCAUCAUCUAAUCCCUGCACCAUCUGCCCUCUAGCCAAACAGCACAAGUUACCUUUCAAUGUAAGCAACAGCAAGACUAGAAAAUGUUUUGAGCUAAUUCACUGUGAUAUCUGGGGUCCUCGUAAGGAAUUAAGCAGAGAUGGUUCUAAAUAUUUUCUGUCUAUUGUAGAUGAUUUCAGUAAGUGCACGUGGAUUUAUAUGUUAAGGCUAAAGUCUGAUGCUACGACUGCUUUACAAAAUUUUUGUGUCAUGAUAGAAACCCAAUUUGAAGCCAAAAUAAAGACAAUUCGAACAGAUAAUGGAGGGGAGUUCAAUAUGGCCCAAUUUUAUUUAACAAAGGGCAUAAUACAUCAAAGAAGUUGUGUUGAAACACCUGAGCAAAAUGCAGUGGUUGAGAGAAAGAACCAACACAUUUUGAACAUAGCACGAGCCUUAAAAUUCCAAAGUGGGCUGCCUUUAAAAUACUGGAAUGAUUUUGUCCUUACAGCAGUUUAUCUAAUUAACAGGACACCAACUCCCAAUUUAAAUCAUAAAAGUCCCUUUGAGAUACUCUUUCAGAUUAAGCCCAACUAUACCCACCUAAGAGUUUUUGGUUGUCUAGCCUUCGCAGCCACACUCACCAAUGGCAGACAUAAGUUUGAUGCUAGGUCUAGAAGAUGUGUAUUCAUUGGCUACCCCUUUGGUGUGAAAGGUUAUAGAUUAUUGGACCUAGAAUCAGACAAAAUUUUCGUCUCAAGGAAUGUAAUAUUUCAUGAAGAUGUUUUUCCUUACAAGAACUCUAACCCCAACAGCAACAGACAACUGUCUGAUCUUACUCACCUCAGUUUCACACAAAACCUCAAUAUCUCCAAUGAUCCUGUCAUCACCGAGCCCUAUAAUGAUAACCAUGUCGAUCAUACUAAUACCAAUCAAAUAAGAUCUUCCCUUCCUGUUAUUCUAGAUAUUCCAGCUCACACACAAACUCCUAACUCCAAUACAGAUGUUAGUUAUGAAGGAGCACAACACCCUAUUGAUACCUUGGAACCAGAACAUCCUGCCACAACACAUUUACCCCGUAAGUCUGGAAGAAUUCGAAAGACUCCUACUUAUCUACAAAACUUCAUAUGUCAGCAGGUCUCCUCACCUCAUCCAUCCCAACAAUUGACCAAGCCAAAGGGAAUAAAUACAACAGGUACUAUCUUUCCCAUUAGUGACAAAAUUUCCUAUGAUAAAUUAUCUACACCUCAUCGUGCUUUUGUGACCUCAAUUACCAGUCAUUCUGAGCCCAGGAAUUAUCAAGAAGCCAUGACCUCACCUGAAUGGUGUGCUGCAAUGAAAGCUGAGAUUGAGGCUUUAGAACUUAAUAAUACUUGGGUUUUGGUCGAUUUACCACCAGGAAAGGAAGCCAUAGGAUGCAAGUGGGUGUAUAAAAUCAAAUUCAAUUCCAAUGGGAGCAUUGAAAGAUUCAAAGGGCGUCUAGUGGCGAAAGGAUUCACGCAACAAGAAGGGAUUGACUAUCAUGAAACGUUUUCCCCCGUUACCAAGGUAGUUACCAUCAGAACCUUGUUGGCAGUAGCAUCAAUCAAGAAAUGGAAUCUGUGCCAAUUUGAUGUAAAUAACGCAUUUUUGCAUGGAGAUUUGGAUGAAGAUGUUUACAUGGAACUAUCUCCUGGAUAUUCAGAUGGCUAUGGGAACAAAGUUUGCAAGCUACGGAAGAGCCUAUAUGGAUUGAAACAGGCCUCAUGACAAUGGUAUUCCAAGCUUUCAAAUUUCAUUAUUGGACAGGGGUUCGUCCAGUCCAAAGCAAACUAUAGCUUAUUCACUAAAACCACUGGCAAUUCCAUCACGAUCAUUCUAAUUUAUGUGGAUGAUAUAAUUAUGGCAGGAAGUUGCAUCAACACCAUUAACAAUCUCAAAGUUUGUCUCAACAAUAAGUUCAGAAUCAAGGAUCUUGGGAAUUUGAAAUUCUUUCUAGGUAUUGAAGUGGCAAGGACCAAACAAGGGAUAUAUAUAUGUCAAAGAAAAUAUGCUCUAGACAUCUCGACAGACUCAGGUACUUUUGGUUCAGCUCCUGCAAGAAUCCCCCUUGACCAGAACUUGAGGCUCAGCAAGGAUGAGGGAGAAUUACUUCCAGAUCCUUCACUCUACAGAAGGUUAAUAGGGAAAUUACUCUAUUUAACAAUUACCAGGCCUGACCUUGCAUAGUUGAUUCAAUUGUUGAGUCAAUACAUGAACAGUCCCAGAACUCCACAUUUAAAUGCUGCUCAUAAAGUCCUCAGGUAUAUCAAGAGAGUACCUAGACAAGGAUUGUUUUAUCCCGCAAAUUCAAAGCUGCAAUUGGAAGGAUACUGUGAUUCGGACUGGGGAGCUUGUCCGGACACCAGAAGAUCUACAACGGGUUAUUGUGUAUUCAUUGGGACAACCUUGAUAUCAUGGAAGUCAAAGAAACAACAUGUCAUAUCUCGAUCUUCAGCCGAAGCGAAAUAUAGGGCAAUGGCAAAUCUUUGCUGUGAAUUUGCCUGGCUCAGAUACUUGCUCAAGGAUUUACAAGUUGAUCAUCCUCAGGCAGCAGUCUUAAAUUGUGACAACAAGGCUGCAAUCCACAUUGCAACAAACCCGGUGUUCCAUGAAAGAACCAAACACAUAGAACUAGAUUGCCAUCUUAUUCGAGACAAGGUACAAGAUGGCAGCAUUGUUACCCAACACGUCAAUAGCACACUACAAAUUGCAGACAUCUUGACUAAGGCUUUGAGUUCUCAAAGUUUUUACUUUUGCAUGUCCAAGAUGGGAGUAAUGGAUAUAUACUCUCCAUCUUGCGGGGGGGCUAUUAAAAUUAGAAGAUAACUCAGCUGGAACAGUGGAAGGAAGCAGGCUCGAAGAUGGCUCAGCUGAAUAUUGGCAAGAAGGAAACCACGUGGACUUACUGUACAGCUGGAGAAAUAAUCACAUGGACUUGAUGACAGAGCAAUGGUAGAAUAGUCUAGAAAGAAAUUGGUUGGACAAGUUGGAUUUGUUGACAACAACCUCUCUCUCUGUGUAAAUUUGUUAGGAAAAGAUUCCUUUUAGUUGUAUAUAUACACAUUCCCAUUGUAUAUGAAAGAUACGGUUGAAUGAACAAAAAUUCUCAAUAUUAUUUCAGCUAAAUUGUGUUGAGUAUUUUUCAUUCUCCAAAACCAAUA